Talpa occidentalis (Iberian mole) is the source of this 762-nucleotide long non-coding RNA. RefSeq lists it as uncharacterized. Lineage: Eukaryota; Metazoa; Chordata; Mammalia; Eulipotyphla; Talpidae. The transcript is spliced from 4 exons. The record is from RefSeq and is a predicted model, not a curated record.
UCCUCAGCCCUAUGCCAGAUCACUGUCAUUCAUUUUAGGCAGCCAGUUAUUGCUUCCCGAGCUGCAGCAGGGAUUCCUCUGACCUUAUGGUUCUGCUGCAGAGUCAUGUCAGAGGACAGAACCAAAUAAGUAAGACAUUUACUGUGAAGGAAACAGGCAGCUGCAAGAAAUGCACUGGUUCUCUGCAUCAGGUUGCUAUUUCAAUGGACUGUUAAAUGUCAAGUGAGUGUUUUCCUCCUGCUUUUAUACAUCACCAAGAUCAUCUCUUUGUGAUCCCAGGGAGAAGGGGUUGGCAGUCUUGAGUCACAUGCAAGCUUUAAAUAUGACUUGGAGAAGGAGGCAUUGUUUUAGAAUCUAAGGAUACGAAGACAAAUAAAUGGAUAAAUACAGCUUUCCUCAUGGAGUUUAUGUUCUUACUAAGGGAGACAGAAAUAAACAAGGUCCUGUCCAUGGUGCUGAAGCCCUCACCUCAUUAGAGCAUCUGCUUUCAGGGAGUAUAUGAUCUGGUGGAGGAAAAGGAUCCAGCAAUACUUGGAACAGCAAACACUUGUCAAGUCUUAUUCUCAUUACUUACAUAUAUUGAGUCAUUUAACUCUUGUGAUAUAGAAACUGUUAUUAUUUCUAUUUACAGAUCAGGCAAUCAAGUCAAGCACCUUAGCAAGCAGCAGAGCCAGGAAUCUGAAGUCAAGCAAUCAUGAUGAAAAGUAUUUGUUCUUAAUUACUACACUGCAUUUCAAUAAACAAAUAAAAUGAGAGAUAAUA